This 75-nucleotide antisense RNA is filed under the name Streptomyces aurantiacus JA 4570. RNAcentral describes it as "ASpks TB sRNA". It matches the Rfam family "ASpks TB sRNA". Lineage: Bacteria; Bacillati; Actinomycetota; Actinomycetes; Kitasatosporales; Streptomycetaceae. The record is from Rfam by way of RNAcentral.
CUUCAACGAGCCCAGCCACAAGGGCCGUUCCUCCGAGUGCUCCUUGCCGUAGGUGGCGAGGAGUGCCUGUGCCUC